GGGAUAUAAAAAUAAUGCAUUGUAUGCCGGAAGAGAUAAAUCUGGGACUGAGUACAAGCAAAACAAGACCAAAGGAAGCUACCUGAGCAGUCACUGGAGCCCUAAUGAUCGCAGCCAUUUCAGGAGAUGCCAUCAAUUACAGUGAGGAGCUCAUUCAGAAGUGAAAGAUGAGUUCCAUUCUCUGUUACUUAGAGGAACACAAUUAUUUCUGGAAAGAGUAUUACACUCAGUAUUCUGCAUUUCAUAUGGCAUUUCAAAGUCCUGAGAAUAACUCUCCAUAGUGUUCUAUGUACUAAUUAAACAUGAACAUGUGGUAAACAGCAUGGACUAUUCCAGUGGGCAGAAAACGUCAAGUUAAAAUGUUUAAGUACCCCAUAUUUUUCUAAGUAUUCUUAUCCAGUUGGUCUGACUGGUCAUUAUCUGUUUUGUAAAACUUCCCAAACAACUCAUCAAUACUUAAAUAG
This 464-nucleotide long non-coding RNA is filed under the name Pongo abelii (Sumatran orangutan). RNAcentral's name for it is "lincRNA". The record is from RNAcentral. Lineage: Eukaryota; Metazoa; Chordata; Mammalia; Primates; Hominidae.